UACAGAGGGGGCAAGCGUUGUUCGGAAUUACUGGGCGUAAAGGGCGCGUAGGCGGCCUUCUAAGUCGAACGUGAAAUCCCCGGGCUCAACCCGGGAACUGCGUCCGAUACUGGAAGGCUUGAAUCCGGGAGAGGGAUGCGGAAUUCCAGGUGUAGCGGUGAAAUGCGUAGAUAUCUGGAGGAACACCGGUGGCGAAGGCGGCAUCCUGGACCGGCAUUGACGCUGAGGAGCGAAAGCCAGGGAGCAAAGCGG
RNAcentral lists this ribosomal RNA (252 nucleotides) under uncultured bacterium. RNAcentral's name for it is "partial 16S ribosomal RNA". It matches the Rfam family "Bacterial small subunit ribosomal RNA", at positions 524 to 776 of the family's 1533-position model. The record is from RNAcentral.